AGGAGCUCGCCCCUCUGGCCUGGACCAUGUACUAAGGCUCCCGCUUCUCGGGCUCUUCCUCCCCUGAGCCCCCCACCGGCCGCCAGGGCAUCUCCGACUGGCCUCCUCCCCUCGCCGCGGUCUGGCUCCUCUCCCCCGUCUCUAGUGCCCUCAUAUUCCAUCCUCUCACUCCGCGCAGAAAGGGACCGGAGAGGCAGUUGCUCCCCACUUCCCGAGAAGACCCCCUGGCCAGCCAGUGUUUCGGGGCGGGGGGCGCAGCGAGGAGGCCUGGCGCCCUUUUGCUGCACGUUCUGUGCCCAGCAGUGUCUCCCAGACCAGCAACCCCCGACCCUCCAGGCUCCAUGUCUUAGAGGAGCCAAAUUCGAGAGUUAUAUAAUUUCUAGUGCUGCUGUUCCUCCUGCCUGAGGAAACCCUUCAUCGCGCGGAGGGUGCAGGACACCUUUGAGCUCUUCUUCUCUAUCAGGACGGGGUGUGGGCAGGGGUGGCCCGCGGUGGCAGAGAUUGCCUGUCUUUUCUGCAAAAGGAAGGUGGGUCGUUUGGAGAGAGAGAUUGAGAGGCAGGGUGGAGGUGGAAGCCAAGCGGCCGAACUCUCUCUCCUUUAGGAAAUCGCCAGCCCUGUGCACAGCUGGUGCUCACAUGCCUAAUACUACAGCGUCUCCGAAAACACCUUCGCGGGAAGGGUUGGCGGCUCCGGACCGGUCCCGGCGCUUUUCCUCGCUGGGCAGGCAGCUGCCUGGACGCGAAGAGAUGGCACGAUGUGAAUGAAUGACUCCAGGGUGAAGAGACCUGCUUCGCCAACUCAUCCUGCAUCAAGUGCCCCCCAAGUAGCACUGUCACUGUAACGCCUCCGUGCCAGGGGAUUGCUUUCCUGCUUUUCAAUCCUCUCGGUUAAUACAUGGGAGGAUCAGAAUCAGAGGGGGCAUUAAGGAUCAAGCCCGAGGGGCUCGGAGAGAACGGAAGGGAAAAAAUGAAAGUGACAGCAAGCUGGAUCCUGCCUUACUGAGGGAGAAGACAGCCUGGACUUCAAAACCAAGUAGGUGAAGUGGUUUGCAACAGUUACCUGACUCUUGGCCUCAAUCCAGUUGGAUAAAGUUGAGACCUGAAAAGAGAGCUUGAAUCCUGUGGCAGUGGAAAGACCAAGAAUGCCAGUCAAGAAGAAAGAUACUGACCGAGCUUUAUCAUUGCUGGAGGAAUACUGCAACAAAUUAAGGAAACCAGAGGAGCAGCAGCUGAAAAACGCUGUUAAAAAGGUGAUGGGCAUCUUUAGGAGCAGC
Myotis daubentonii (Daubenton's bat) is the source of this 1274-nucleotide long non-coding RNA. RefSeq lists it as uncharacterized. NCBI's taxonomy places the organism in Eukaryota, Metazoa, Chordata, Mammalia, Chiroptera, Vespertilionidae. The transcript is spliced from 3 exons. The record is from RefSeq and is a predicted model, not a curated record.